GCAUCGAUGAAGAACGCAGCAAACUGCGAUAAGUAAUGUGAAUUGCAGAAUUUAGUGAAUCAUCGAAUCUUUGAACGCAAAUGGCGCUCUUGGGCAUUCCCAGGAGCACGUCUGUCUGAGCGUCGUUUCUCACAUCCCAUCUCCACGAGAUGGGGCCAUGAGGUGUCCCUUUGCUGCAAAGCGAACGGUCCCUUGAAGUAGAGCGAUCCCGAGUCGUGCGGAAGCCCCUCGUGGCCCGUGCCUCUCGGUGUGGUAGAAAUAUCUCACCGAAGGACCGAGCUUCGCAGGGUGUCUGAAACCUUCUCUUCUGGGACGAUUGGAAAGGGUUCGACUUUCUUUCGAGAGAGUCGUUCGACCAACCAAGACCUCAGAUCAGGCGAGACUACCCGCUGAACUUAAGCAUAUCAAUAAGCGGAGGA
Molecule: ribosomal RNA, 419 nt
Filed under: uncultured fungus
Lineage: Eukaryota; Fungi
Description: eukaryotic LSU rRNA
Rfam family: 5.8S ribosomal RNA (bases 1-125)
Source: RNAcentral